RNAcentral lists this ribosomal RNA (486 nucleotides) under uncultured bacterium. RNAcentral describes it as "partial 16S ribosomal RNA". It matches the Rfam family "Bacterial small subunit ribosomal RNA", at positions 30 to 507 of the family's 1533-position model. The record is from RNAcentral.
AUUGAACGCUGGCGGCAUGCCUUACACAUGCAAGUCGAACGGCAGCACGGGUGCUUGCCCCUGGUGGCGAGUGGCGAACGGGUGAGUAAUACAUCGGAACAUGUCCUGUAGUGGGGGAUAGCCCGGCGAAAGCCGGAUUAAUACCGCAUACGAACUACGGAUGAAAGCGGGGGACCUUCGGGCCUCGCGCUAUAGGGUUGGCCGAUGGCUGAUUAGCUAGUUGGUGGGGUAAAGGCCUACCAAGGCGACGAUCAGUAGCUGGUCUGAGAGGACGACCAGCCACACUGGGACUGAGACACGGCCCAGACUCCUACGGGAGGCAGCAGUGGGGAAUUUUGGACAAUGGGCGAAAGCCUGAUCCAGCAAUGCCGCGUGUGUGAAGAAGGCCUUCGGGUUGUAAAGCACUUUUGUCCGGAAAGAAAUCCUUGGCUCUAAUACAGUCGGGGGAUGACGGUACCGGAAGAAUAAGCACCGGCUAACUACGUG